RNAcentral lists this ribosomal RNA (1402 nucleotides) under uncultured bacterium. RNAcentral describes it as "partial 16S ribosomal RNA". It matches the Rfam family "Bacterial small subunit ribosomal RNA". The record is from RNAcentral.
AGAGUUUGAUCCUGGCUCAGGAUGAACGCUAGCUACAGGCUUAACACAUGCAAGUCGAGGGGCAGCAUGGUCUUAGCUUGCUAAGGCUGAUGGCGACCGGCGCACGGGUGAGUAACACGUAUCCAACCUGCCGUCUACUCUUGGCCAGCCUUCUGAAAGGAAGAUUAAUCCAGGAUGGCAUCAUGAGUUCACAUGUCCGCAUGAUUAAAGGUAUUUUCCGGUAGACGAUGGGGAUGCGUUCCAUUAGAUAGUAGGCGGGGUAACGGCCCACCUAGUCAACGAUGGAUAGGGGUUCUGAGAGGAAGGUCCCCCACAUUGGAACUGAGACACGGUCCAAACUCCUACGGGAGGCAGCAGUGAGGAAUAUUGGUCAAUGGGCGAUGGCCUGAACCAGCCAAGUAGCGUGAAGGAUGACUGCCCUAUGGGUUGUAAACUUCUUUUAUAAAGGAAUAAAGUCGGGUAUGCAUACCCGUUUGCAUGUACUUUAUGAAUAAGGAUCGGCUAACUCCGUGCCAGCAGCCGCGGUAAUACGGAGGAUCCGAGCGUUAUCCGGAUUUAUUGGGUUUAAAGGGAGCGUAGAUGGAUGUUUAAGUCAGUUGUGAAAGUUUGCGGCUCAACCGUAAAAUUGCAGUUGAUACUGGAUGUCUUGAGUGCAGUUGAGGCAGGCGGAAUUCGUGGUGUAGCGGUGAAAUGCUUAGAUAUCACGAAGAACUCCGAUUGCGAAGGCAGCCUGCUAAGCUGCAACUGACAUUGAGGCUCGAAAGUGUGGGUAUCAAACAGGAUUAGAUACCCUGGUAGUCCACACGGUAAACGAUGAAUACUCGCUGUUUGCGAUAUACGGCAAGCGGCCAAGCGAAAGCGUUAAGUAUUCCACCUGGGGAGUACGCCGGCAACGGUGAAACUCAAAGGAAUUGACGGGGGCCCGCACAAGCGGUGGAGCAUGUGGUUUAAUUCGAAGCAACGCGAAGAACCUUACCAAAUCUUGACAUCCCUCUGACCGGUCUUUAAUCGGACCUUCUCUUCGGAGCAGAGGUGACAGGUGGUGCAUGGUUGUCGUCAGCUCGUGUCGUGAGAUGUUGGGUUAAGUCCCGCAACGAGCGCAACCCCUAUCCUCAGUAGCCAGCAUUUAAGGUGGGCACUCUGGGGAGACUGCCAGGGAUAACCUGGAGGAAGGCGGGGAUGACGUCAAAUCAUCAUGCCCCUUAUGAUUUGGGCUACACACGUGCUACAAUGGCGUAAACAAAGGGAAGCGAGAUCGUGAGAUGGAGCAAAUCCCAAAAAUAACGUCCCAGUUCGGACUGUAGUCUGCAACCCGACUACACGAAGCUGGAAUCGCUAGUAAUCGCGGAUCAGAAUGCCGCGGUGAAUACGUUCCCGGGUCUUGCACACACCGCCCGUCAAG